AGUGAACGCUGGCGGCGUGCUUAACACAUGCAAGUCGAACGAUAACGGAUUAUAGCUUGCUAUAAUUGUCAGCUAAGUGGCGCACGGGUGAGUAAUGUAUAGGUAAUAUGCCUCUUACUAAGGGAUAACAAAUGGAAACGUUUGCUAAUACCUUAUACUCCUUAUUAACAGAAGUUAAUAAGGGAAAGAUUUAUUGGUAAGAGAUUAGCCUGUAUUGUAUCAGUUAGUUGGUGGGGUAAUGGCUUACCAAGACUAUGACACAUAACUGGUUUGGGAGGAUGAUCAGUCACACGGGAACUGAGACACGGUCCAGAAUCCUACGGGAGGCAGCAGUGGGGAAUAUUGCACAAUGGACGAAAGUCUGAUGCAGCAACGCCGCGUGGAGGAUGACACAUUUCGGUGCGUAAACUCCUUUUAUAGGAGAAGUUAAUGACGGUAUUAUAUGAAUAAGCACCGGCUAACUCCGUGCCAGCCGCCGCCGUAA
RNAcentral lists this ribosomal RNA (484 nucleotides) under uncultured bacterium. RNAcentral's name for it is "partial 16S ribosomal RNA". It matches the Rfam family "Bacterial small subunit ribosomal RNA", at positions 29 to 523 of the family's 1533-position model. The record is from RNAcentral.